UACGGAAGGCAGCAGUGGGGAAUAUUGCACAAUGGGCGAAAGCCUGAUGCAGCUAUGCCGCGUGUAUGAAGAAGGCCUUAGGGUUGUAAAGUACUUUCAUCGGGGAGGAAAAACAAAACUAAUAAUUUUAUUUCUUGACGUUACCCGAAAAAGAAGCACCGGCUAACUCCGUGCCAGCAGCCGCGGUAAUACGGAGGGUGCUAGCGUUAAUCAGAAUUACUGGGCGUAAAGAGCACGUAGGUGGUUUUUUUAAGUCAGAUGUGAAAUCCCUGGGCUUAGCCUAGGAACUGCAUUUUGAAACUGAAAUACUAGAGUAUCGUAGAGGGAGGUAGAAUUCUAGGUGUAGCGGUGAAAUGCGUAGAUAUCUGGAGGAAUACCUGUGGCGAAAGCGGCCUCUAAACGAAUACUGACACUGAGGUGCGAAAGCGUGGGGAGCAAACAGGGAUUAGAUACC
This 454-nucleotide ribosomal RNA is filed under the name uncultured bacterium. RNAcentral describes it as "bacterial SSU rRNA". It matches the Rfam family "Bacterial small subunit ribosomal RNA", at positions 340 to 786 of the family's 1533-position model. The record is from RNAcentral.